This 221-nucleotide unclassified non-coding RNA is filed under the name Cotesia glomerata. RNAcentral describes it as "uncharacterized LOC123270364, transcript variant X2". The record is from RNAcentral. Lineage: Eukaryota; Metazoa; Arthropoda; Insecta; Hymenoptera; Braconidae.
UGAUUUUAAUUUUGUUAAAUUAUGAGUGAAUUUUUUAAAUUUAUGGAAAAUGACUUUUGACCACUUGGACGAUUUUUUUCUGUCCCACGUGUCAACAAGUGUAUGGUUAAUUCACGCUGCCUCUAUUAUUAUCAUAUGACGGUUUUAAUUUCGAGAAUUAUUUAAACAAGAUCCUCUCGAAAAUGGCAGCACUAAAGUCCCAGGGAUAUAAAGUUGAGGAA